CUCCGGUUGAUCCUGCCGGACCCGACUGCUAUCAGAGUGGGACUAAGCCAUGCGAGUCAACGCUGUAAGGCGUGGCAUACGGCUCAGUAACACGUAGUCAACAUGCCCAAGGGACGUGGAUAACCUCGGGAAACUGAGGAUAAACCGCGAUAGGCCAAGUUUUCUGGAAUGGAACAUGGCUGAAAUCUAUAUGGCCCUUGGAUUGGACUGCGGCCGAUCAGGCUGUUGGUGAGGUAAUGGCCCACCAAACCUGUAACCGGUACGGGCUUUGAGAGAAGGAGCCCGGAGAUGGGCACUGAGACAAGGGCCCAGGCCCUAUGGGGCGCAGCAGGCGCGAAACCUCUGCAAUAGGCGAAAGCUUGACAGGGUUACUCUGAGUGAUGUCCGUUAAGGGCAUCUUUUGGCACCUCUAAAAAUGGUGCAGAAUAAGGGGUGGGCAAGUCUGGUGUCAGCCGCCGCGGUAAUACCAGCACCCCGAGUGGUCGGGACGAUUAUUGGGCCUAAAGCAUCCGUAGCUGGUUCUGCAAGUCUUCCGUUAAAUCCAACCGCUUAACGGUUGACCUGCAGAGGAUACCGCGGGACUAGGAGGCGGGAGAGGCGGACGGUACUCCGCGUGUAGGGGUAAAAUCCUUUGAUCCGCGGAAGACCACCAGUGGCGAAGGCGGUCCGCCAGAACGCGCUCGACGGUGAGGGAUGAAAGCUGGGGGAGCGAACCGGAUUAGAUACCCGGGUAGUCCCAGCCGUAAACGAUGCUAGCUAGAUGAUUCAUUCGCAAGUCGCGAAUGAAGUGUCGCAGGGAAGCCGUUAAGCUAGCCGCCUGGGGAGUACGGUCGCAAGACUGAAACUUAAAGGAAUUGGCGGGGGAGCA
RNAcentral lists this ribosomal RNA (868 nucleotides) under uncultured archaeon. RNAcentral describes it as "bacterial SSU rRNA". It matches the Rfam family "Archaeal small subunit ribosomal RNA", at positions 1 to 878 of the family's 1478-position model. The record is from RNAcentral.